Molecule: small RNA, 27 nt
Filed under: Bombyx mori (domestic silkworm)
Lineage: Eukaryota; Metazoa; Arthropoda; Insecta; Lepidoptera; Bombycidae
Description: piRNA piR-bmo-2067458
Source: RNAcentral
UGACAGAUGCGAGACCAUGGAAAUGCC